UGGACUGAUGAUGACAACUGGUGGCGUAUGACUCAUACAGAAUGAAUACUAUGUGUCUGGAACUCUGAGGUCCAA
Small nucleolar RNA from Diceros bicornis minor, 75 nucleotides. RefSeq annotates it as small nucleolar RNA SNORD113/SNORD114 family. The transcript has a single exon. The record is from RefSeq and is a predicted model, not a curated record. NCBI's taxonomy places the organism in Eukaryota, Metazoa, Chordata, Mammalia, Perissodactyla, Rhinocerotidae.